GGGAGUUUUUUCAACUUGGAAUCAGGCUUAUCCCAAGCAGAAAAUGAAUACUGACAGGAGAAUUCACAGUUCCUGAUUCCAUGCUCUAGAUUGACGUAAAAUGAUCCAAAUUAGUGGAGCAGCCUUUUGAAACCUAAAAAUACUGCUGUGACUCGGCUGGGAGGAGAAGAACAUGAGCAAAGUAGAGGGCCCAGGAGUCUAAGAUGAAAACCACAAACACACUUAGAUUUCCCCUAAAUUUUGGGAUGGAUAAAAAAAGAAAACUUACUAUGCCCAAUGAGAAAAGAAGAGAAAUGCAGGACAGAAGAGAAGAAAAGGAACCUAACAGAGCUGACCCUGGACCUUUGGGCUUUCAGACGAUCUGGCCUGUUCUGAUCUGAAGAAUUAUGUCUCCCCUAUAAUUAUGAUGCAUCUUGAGCAGGCAGCCUGGGACACGACUGGAGUAUUUUGUGGUAACCAGAUGAAGAAUUAGAAGUAUUUGAAGUGUGAAAGAAAAAAUAUACAUAUAAAACAUCAGUCCCCUACUCCCCACGCCCGUGCACAAUUCAACAAUUGCUAAUAAAUUAGAAGGAGGGGCGUAUUGAUGUACUACUUGACUGUAACACAAAGAAGUGUAGUUAGCAAAAAGCUGCGGAGGGUAAUGAACAGUAUUUUAACUCGGCAGUUUAACCUCGGUGUCUGUCAGCUGUGACCUUUUACCAACCCCAAUGAGAGUCUGAUUUCUCACUUUUUGCUACUCACUGCUGGAUGAGUGAAUGUAGAAUUUGACAGCGAGAGGUUUUACAUGAAAAGGGAAGUGCAACAUUUUCACCAAGGUAUUGAGAUGGCUUGAAUCUGGAAUUCUUGGCAAGAUUAAUUUUGGAAAACCCUGUAAGUGCAGAGCACAGAAGAGCAGAUCUCAGACAGUAGGACCAAAUUUGUAAGUCUCCAAAAAAAUUCAGUAAGUGUAUGCUUGAACUUGAUUUGACUCAUUUUCUAUUUAAAGUAAUACUAUCUCAUUUGCAGGAUAUUCCAAUCAGCUUGUUUAUAAGAUCCAGCCAACGGAACAUUUUUGCACGGUAACAUGGUAGAAUCCACACAGGAGGCUACUACAAGCUGGAUUUUUUCCCCCAGCAUAUGACUUGCUUGGACCUGAGCUCUUUAAAAGCUUCAUAGGGAGCUAAUUUAACUCAAGGGUGUUAUCUACUUUGUUUUCCCUACCUCUACUGUCUUUACAGUGAUGAAUCCCUGGAAAAGUACCCGGCAGUUAGGAGGACCUGCACAUUUUAAUUAUUCUAAUUUAGGAUCAUAUGCUGCUUUCGCUGCUUUUUUUUUCCUGGAGGACCAUACUUUCUCACUUCAAGUUAUUUGUACAUUGAUAUGAGUUUUGAGCAUAUUGCUAAAUGAACCUUCUGUUAAAGAUCAAAACGUAACACUUAAAAAACAGAGUUAAAAAAGUAACUAUUGUCAAAUGAAAUAAAAGCCGGCACAAUUCUA
Molecule: long non-coding RNA, 1476 nt
Organism: Ornithorhynchus anatinus (platypus)
Lineage: Eukaryota; Metazoa; Chordata; Mammalia; Monotremata; Ornithorhynchidae
Exons: 4
Source: RefSeq, a predicted model, not a curated record